AACGAACGCUGGCGGCAUGCCUAACACAUGCGAGUCGAACGAGACCUUCGGGUCUAGUGGCGCACGGGUGCGUAACGCGUGGGAACCUGCCCUUAGGUUCGGAAUAACUCCCCGAAAGGGGUGCUAAUACCGGAUAAUGUCUUCGGACCAAAGAUUUAUCGCCUUUGGAUGGGCCCGCGUUGGAUUAGCUAGUUGGUAGGGUAAAAGCCUACCAAGGCGACGAGCCUUAGCUGGUCUGAGAGGAUGAUCAGCCACCCUGGGACUGAGACACGGCCCCGACUCCUACGGGAGGCAGCAGUGGGGAAUAUUGGACAAUGGGCGAAAGCCUGAUCCAGCCAUGCCGCGUGAGUGAUGAAGGCCUUAGGGUUGUAAAGCUCUUUUACCCGGGAUGAUAAUGACAGUACCGGGAGAAUAAGCUCCGGCUAACUCCGUG
Molecule: ribosomal RNA, 433 nt
Filed under: uncultured bacterium
Lineage: Bacteria
Description: partial 16S ribosomal RNA
Rfam family: Bacterial small subunit ribosomal RNA
Source: RNAcentral